UACGGAGGGGGCUAGCGUUGUUCGGAAUUACUGGGCGUAAAGCGCGCGUAGGCGGCUUUGUAAGUUAGAGGUGAAAGCCCGGAGCUCAACUCCGGAACUGCCUUUAAAACUGCAUCGCUUGAAUCCAGGAGAGGUGAGUGGAAUUCCGAGUGUAGAGGUGAAAUUCGUAGAUAUUCGGAAGAACGCCAGUGGCGAAGGCGGCUCACUGGACUGGUAUUGACGCUGAGGUGCGAAAGCAUGGGGAGCAAACAGG
RNAcentral lists this ribosomal RNA (253 nucleotides) under uncultured bacterium. Its description in RNAcentral is "partial 16S ribosomal RNA". It matches the Rfam family "Bacterial small subunit ribosomal RNA", at positions 524 to 776 of the family's 1533-position model. The record is from RNAcentral.